RNAcentral lists this long non-coding RNA (667 nucleotides) under Zea mays. RNAcentral's name for it is "long non-coding RNA (ZMAY_LNC002927)". The record is from RNAcentral. Lineage: Eukaryota; Viridiplantae; Streptophyta; Magnoliopsida; Poales; Poaceae.
GAUGACGGUGAAACAAGGAGAAUAUUUUAGUCUGACCAAAUCUGAAAUGCUGAAGCAAACAGCAACCUUAUCUCCAGAGACAAAAGUGUGAAGGUAAAAAAAAAAGCAGAUGAAAUGUUUACAGGCAGCCUUGGCGGUGAGGGAGGGGCCCAGGGCCCAGACCCCAGGACCCAGGGAGAGCUCUAGUGCUUUGCAAAUCCCUAUUGCUGCUAGGCUAGGCCCCUCCAUAUAAGGUAGCACUCAUGAGCGCUCAUCAAGUUCAAUGAACGCUGCACCGCUGUUCUCCUUUUGACUUUUGCUUUUCUUUUUGAAUAUUAUUAGGCCAUUCUCAGUGUACAGAGACUGGCCGCGGUGAAUCGUUUAAACGUAGAACUGUGCGUGACACUGUUAAACAAUAUUUGUAGAUUGAAGUUUGGCAUAGGAGAUGAGAAUGGUGAUUAGGAGAGAGGAUACUCUGUCUCAUCCCCUAUUUUAAAUUUCGCGUCCCUAUUUUACACUACCGCUAGAGACCGUCUUACUACCCCUGUCUAACAUGUUUUGCAGAGAACAUAUCCAUCCAAGAACAUGCACAUGCGGCGUGAUAUCUCCGUAUGGAUGGGAACUGGGAAGGAAGAAUGAAGAUGCAUGAGGGAAGAUGUGUUGAUGAGGACUGAGGAGGCAUCCAAAC